Molecule: long non-coding RNA, 897 nt
Organism: Juglans regia (Persian walnut)
Lineage: Eukaryota; Viridiplantae; Streptophyta; Magnoliopsida; Fagales; Juglandaceae
Exons: 3
Source: RefSeq, a predicted model, not a curated record
AUGUGUUCCAUGAUGUAAGGCCCAGUUUCUUCAUCAGUGGCCCGGAUCAGUGCGUGUAAAUGGCCCAGCCAUUUUAUUGUCUAGUGAGACCACCGAGCGGCGUCGUUUUGGGAGGUAUGUUUAUCUCCUCUGUUUUCCGUUUCUUUCUCCCUUCUCUUCCGCAGUUUCGGUUUCUUCCGCACGUCUCUCGCGCACGUCUCUUUCUUUUCUUUCGGUUUCUACUUAUUUCUUGUUGCUGCGUUAGUCUGUGGGUUCCGAUUCUCUGCCCUAGUUUCCUCAUUGUUGCGGUUUCUCUCUUGCACUGCUUAUUAUUCCAGUGAGUUGCCGUCUGCUACACUCUGUUUUCUCUCCAUUUUCACGUUUCUGUUCUUCCUCUACAAGUCAGCGAGCAGUACCUCUCUUUCCUCCAUUUUUUCGACUGGUAAGUGUUUCCUUCUCAUCCCUUUAGGUUUCGGUUUCAUAUACUGAAAUUGUGCAGAUUCUGAUCCUUAGUAUUUGGUUUGUUUUAUCCUCUGUUUCUGCAGUUUCUGUUUUGGCCGUGAGUUUUGAGUAGCAUUUUGUGAGUUUUCUGGUUGCUGUGCGUGGGAGUAUUUCGGGUUGGUGAGUUUCGGGUAAGCAUUGAAACCUUUGCUGGAUUUUCUCAAUGCCGUAUCAUACUCAUGCAGUUCUUCUUCAAAUUUAUUUUGAUUUUAUCCUCAUUUCUGCAGUUUUUGGUUGCCGUGAGUUUGAGUUGUAUUUUCGUCGGUUCUUGAGUUUCCGUGACUUGUGAUUCCUAGUUAUUGGACUUUCAGUUUCUCGGGUAAUCAGUGAAGCUAAUUCCGGAGAAUCUAUUCUUUUCUUUCACUGGUGACGAGAUUGAUAGAGAUCAUUUUCAAGACUUAGAUAAUACGCUGCAGG